Molecule: ribosomal RNA, 494 nt
Filed under: uncultured bacterium
Lineage: Bacteria
Description: bacterial SSU rRNA
Rfam family: Bacterial small subunit ribosomal RNA
Source: RNAcentral
AUUGAACGCUGGCGGCAUGCCUUACACAUGCAAGUUGAACGGCAGCACGGGUGCUUGCACCUGGUGGCGAGUGGCGAACGGGUGAGUAAUACAUUGGAACGUACCUUAUCGUGGGGGAUAACGCAGCGAAAGUUGCGCUAAUAAAACAUACGCCCUGAGGGGGAAAGCGGGGGGCCGUAAGGCCUCGCGCGAUUAGAGCGGCCGAUGUUUGAUUAGCUUGUUGGUGAGGUAAAAGCUCACCAAGGCGAUGAUCAGUAGCUGGUUUGAGAGGACGAUCAGCCCCCCUGGGACUGAGACACGGCCCAGACUCCUACGGGAGGCAGCAGUGGGGAAUUUUGGACAAUGGGGGCAACCCUGAUCCAGCAAUGCCGCGUGAGUGAAGAAGGCCUUCGGGUUGUAAAGCUCUUUUGUCAGGGAAGAAACAGCAGCUUUAACACAGUCUGCGAAUGACGUUAAAGGGAGAAUAAGCCCCGGCUUACUUCGUUCCAGCAGCC